UACGUAGGGACCAAGCGUUGUCCGGAAUCAUUGGGCGUAAAGAGCGUGUAGGCGGCCUGUUAAGUCUUGCGUGAAAUCUCGGGGCUCAACCCCGAGCGGUCGUGAGAAACUGGCAGGCUAGAGUGCGGGAGAGGAGAGUGGAAUUCCUGGUGUAGCGGUGAAAUGCGCAGAUAUCAGGAAGAACACCCGUGGCGAAGGCGGCUCUCUGGAACGCAACUGACGCUGAGACGCGAAAGCGUGGGGAGCAAACAGGAUUAGAUACCCUGGUAGUCCACGCCGUAAACGAUGGAUGCUAGGUGUGGGCGGUGUCGACUCCGUCCGUGCCGAAGCUAACGCAUUAAGCAUCCCGCCUGGGGAGUACGGCCGCAAGGCUAAA
RNAcentral lists this ribosomal RNA (376 nucleotides) under uncultured bacterium. RNAcentral's name for it is "bacterial SSU rRNA". It matches the Rfam family "Bacterial small subunit ribosomal RNA", at positions 524 to 898 of the family's 1533-position model. The record is from RNAcentral.